RNAcentral lists this ribosomal RNA (497 nucleotides) under uncultured bacterium. Its description in RNAcentral is "partial 16S ribosomal RNA". It matches the Rfam family "Bacterial small subunit ribosomal RNA", at positions 28 to 507 of the family's 1533-position model. The record is from RNAcentral.
GAUGAACGCUGGCGGCGUGCCUAACACAUGCAAGUCGAGCGAACAGAUCAGGAGUUUGCUCCCCUGACGUUAGCGGCGGAGGGGAGAGUAACACGUGGUUAACCUACCUAUACGACUGGGAUAAUUUUGGGAAACCGGGUCUACUACCGGAUAAUUUAUUGAACUGCAUGGUUCACUCGUGAAAGUCGGUUUUGCUGUCGCUAAUAGCUGGCUCCGGGCCGCAUUAGCUGGUUGGUAAGGUAACGGAUUACCAAGGCUACGAUGCGUAGCCGACCUAAAAGGGAGAUCGGCCAGACUGGAUGAGAGACUGGGUCCAGACACCUAGAGGGAGAAGCAGCAGGGACUCUUACGCGAUGGAGGAGAGCGUGACAGUGCAACACCGCGUGAGGGAUGAAGGUGUUCGGAUCGGAGAGCUCUGUUAUUAGGAAAGAACAAAUGUGUAAGUAACUGUGCACGUAAUGACGGUACCUGAAGAGAAAGCCACGGCUAACUACGUG